GGAUUAGGCAUGCAAGUCGAACGAGGGAGUGUUUCGAAAGGGACACAAACCGAGUGGCGUAAGGGCGAGUAAUGCAUUGAUAACCUGCCUUUGAGAUGGGGAUAACAACGUCUCGCAAGAGACUUCCGAAAGGGUUGCUAAUACCCAAUAAGACUGUUGGUGCGGAGGUGCUGAGAGUCAAAGGUCUGGAGUGAAAGCUCCAUUUGCUCAGAGAGGGGUCAAUGUCCUAUCAGCUAGUUGGUAGGGUAAAGGCCUACCAAGGCGAAGACGGGUAGCCGGCCUGAGAGGGUGGUCGGCCGCAUUGGGACUGAGACACUGCCCAGACUCCUACGGGAGGCUGCAGUCGAGAAUCUUUCGCAAUGCCCGCAAGGGUGACGAAGCGACGCCGCGUGUGGGAAGAAGGCCUUCGGGUUGUAAACCACUGUCGGGAGUUAAGAAAGGUGUACGGGUAAAUAGUCCGUGCAUUUGACAAAAGCUCCGGAGGAAGCCACGGCUAACUCUGUGCCAGCAGCCGCGGUAAUACAGAGGUGGCAAGCGUUGUUCGGAAUUAUUGGGCGUAAAGAGCACGUAGGCGGCCCUGCAAGUCAGCUGUGAAAGCCUCCUGCUUAACGGGAGAAGUGCAGUUGAAACUACGGGGCUAGAGUGCGGAAGGGGAGAGUGGAACUUCUGGUGGAGCGGUGAAAUGCGUAGAUAUCAGAAGGAACACCGGCGGCGAAAGCGGCUCUCUGGUCCGUAACUGACGCUGAGGUGCGAAAGCCAGGGGAGCAAACGGGAUUAGAUACCCCGGUAGUCCUGGCCGUAAACGAUGGGCACUCGGUAGAGGGGUUUUGAAUAUCUCUCUGCCUGAGCUAACGCGUUAAGUGCCCCGCCUGGGGAGUACGGCCGCAAGGCUAAAACUCAAAAGAAUUGACGGGGGCUCGCACAAGCGGUGGAGCAUGUGGCUUAAUUCGAUGCAACACGAAGAACCUUACCGGGGCUCGACAUGACAGAAGUAGGAGUCCGAAAGGACAACCAACGGUAUCCAGUCCGUAGCUGUCACAGGUGUUGCAUGGCUGUCGUCAGCUCGUGUCGUGAGACGUUGGGUUGAGUCCCCUAACGAGCGAAACCCUUGUCUUUAGUUGCCAACGGGUCAAGCCGGGCACUCUAAAGAGACUGCUGUCGUUAAGACGGAGGAAGGUGGGGAUGACGUCAAGUCAUCAUGGCCCUUAUGUCCCGGGCUGCACACGUGCUACAAUGGUCGGUACAAAGGAUGCUAAAUCGCAAGAUGGAGCGAAACCCAGAAAGCCGGUCCCAGUUCAGAUUGGAGGCUGAAACCCGCCUCCAUGAAGGAGGAAUCGCUAGUAAUCGCGGAUCAGCUAUGCCGCGGUGAAUAUGUUCCCGAGCCUUGUACACACCGCCCGU
This 1401-nucleotide ribosomal RNA is filed under the name uncultured bacterium. Its description in RNAcentral is "bacterial SSU rRNA". It matches the Rfam family "Bacterial small subunit ribosomal RNA", at positions 46 to 1397 of the family's 1533-position model. The record is from RNAcentral.